This 22-nucleotide non-coding RNA is filed under the name Arabidopsis thaliana (thale cress). Lineage: Eukaryota; Viridiplantae; Streptophyta; Magnoliopsida; Brassicales; Brassicaceae. The record is from RNAcentral.
UAUGAGGUAUUGCUGAGUGAGU